CCUACGGGAGGCAGCAGUGGGGAAUAUUGCACAAUGGGGGAAACCCUGAUGCAGCGACGCCGCGUGAGUGAAGAAGUAUUUCGGUACGUAAAGCUCUAUCAGCAGGGAAGAAAAACAGUCCUUUGGACUUUGGACGGUACCUGACCAAGAAGCCCCGGCUAACUACGUGCCAGCAGCCGCGGUAAUACGUAGGGGGCAAGCGUUGUCCGGAUUUACUGGGUGUAAAGGGAGCGUCAACGGCAGCGCAAGUCUGGAGGGAAAUGCCGGGGCCCAACCCCGGAACUGCUUUGGAAACUGGGCAGCUGGAGUGCAGGAGAGGUAAGCGGAAUUCCUAGUGUAGCGGUGAAAUGCGUAGAUAUUAGGAGGAACACCAGUGGCGAAGGCGGCUUACUGGACUGUAACUGACGUUGAGGCUCGAAAGCGUGGGGAGCAAACAGGAUUAGAUACCCCAGUAGUC
Molecule: ribosomal RNA, 457 nt
Filed under: uncultured bacterium
Lineage: Bacteria
Description: partial 16S ribosomal RNA
Rfam family: Bacterial small subunit ribosomal RNA
Source: RNAcentral